AUGGAGAUGGAGGAGCAGAAGGAGGCCCCGGGCUUCCUUGAGGUGCCCAAGGACAUCCCCGUCGCCACCAAGCCCCUCACCAUCAGGACCAAUGCCGGGUACGGCAGCAGCUCCGACCGGUCCAACCCCAUCUCGCCGGCCAUCUCCUUCACCUCGCACCUCUACUCGCCGUCGCCGCCGUCCUCCGCCUUCGUGUCGGCGCUGCAGUCCCCGUACAUCUCGCCCCGGGUCCUCGACCCGCCGGAGCCGCCGGCGCAGCAGCCGCACCGGCAGCUGCAUCAAGAAAGCAAGGCCUCCAGCGUCACCACCACCACGGCGCAGUCGCCGGCGUCCUGCUCCAACGGGUCGCAGUCCGAGGACACCGACGCGCCGAGCGCGUCCCGCACGCCGCCGUCCGAGCGGUACGACUCCAGCGGCAUCGACCCGGCCAAGAUUUCAGACGGCGGCGGAGGCGGCUGUGGCGGCGCGCCGCCGCGCGUGUCCUUCUCGUUCCCCGUGCCGCGGGUGUCCUUCACCAGGGGCCCCGUGGCGUCGCCGUCGUCCAACGCCAAGCUCCGGAGCUGCGACGUGUACAUCGGCUACCACAACAACGGCAACCUCGGCAGGUUCUGCAAGUGGCUCAAGGCGGAGCUGGAGCUGCAGGGCAUCGCCUCCUUCGUGGCUGACCGGGCGAAGUACUCCGACGCGCAGAUUCACGAGAUUGCUGACCGGAUUAUUUGCUCCGUGGCAUUCGGCGUCGUUGUGGUCACCAUGUCAAGCUUCCUCAACCCCUUCAGCCUCGAGGAGAUCAGGUUCUUUGCUCAGAAGAAGAACCUCAUCCCUAUACUGUUCGACACCGAGCCGUCGGAGAUUGCCGGGCUGUUUGAUGGCAAAUUGGAGGACAAGGAAGGGAAGGAAGCAUUCGAAGGGCUGAUGCGGUGCCACGAGUUCAAGCUCGAGGCGAAUGAGACCAAUUGGAGAAGCUGCGUGUCAAAGACAGUCGGUCUGCUGCAGUCCAAGCUUGGCAGGAAGAACAUUGCUGAGAAGGAGAGUGAGGGGUCCGGAGGCAUACCCUUCCCACGUAACCGGCAUUUCGUCGGAAGGGAGAAAGAGCUGAGUGAAAUCGAGGGGAUAUUCUUUGGAUCCUCGGUGGAUAUCCAGGAAGUGUUGGACUGCUCAAGGGGCUCCACUACAAAUGAAAGAUCCAGCGGCGUGUCUGACGGCUUUGCCGACGAGGAGAGCGACACGGUGAGGACGUCUAAUGCCAAGUACAUCAGUUUGGAAAUGCGCAAAUGCAAGGAGCCGACAUUGGAGGCCUGGAUCGAUCCGGUGAUCGAGCUGUCGUCGGGGAAAGGUAGAAGCCUUCAGAAGCAGAGAUCAAAGCACAGGAGGUCAAGGUUCCGGUGCAACAGCAAGGGCUGCGGCGGUGCCAGUGUGGUCUGCAUCAAUGGCUCCUCCGGCAUUGGCAAGACAGAGCUGGCAUUGGAGUUUGCUUACCGGUACUCCCAGCGGUACAAGAUGGUGCUGUGGAUUGGGGGGGAGGCUCGGUACAUGAGGCAGAACAUACUCAACUUAUCCAUGAGCUUGGGAUUGGAUAUCAGUGCUGAGGCUGAGAAGGAGAGGGGCAGGAUUAGGAGCUUUGAGGAGCAGGAGAUCGAUGCAUUCCAGAGGGUAAAGCGGGAGCUGUUCCGGGAUGUGCCCUACUUGCUUAUCAUUGACAACCUUGAAAACGAGAGGGAUUGGUGGGAAGGCAAGGACCUCCAUGACUUCAUCCCAAGGAACACCGGAGCGACGAAUGUCAUUAUCACCACGCGGUUGCCACGCGUGAUGAAUCUUGAGCCGAUGCAGCUGCCACAGCUCUCAUACAUUGAUGCGAUGAUCUUGAUGAAGGGUAAGCUUAAGAAUGACUAUCCAGCCGACGAAACAGAAGUACUCAGGAAGCUGGACGAGCGGUUGGGCAGGCUGAGCUUUGGUCUGUCGGUCGUCGGUUCACUGCUCUCCGAGCUCAUGAUCGCUCCUUCCACUCUGUUUGAGGCUGUUGAGAGAAUAUCAUUGAACGAGAACUUGUUCCCCCAUGAUGCCAACGACGACGGCUUCUGCCGUAACAAUUCCUUCCUGAUAAAGGUGCUGGUCUUCUGUUUUGCCUUGAUGGACCGAGCGAAAGGAGGACACCUGACAUCGAAAAUGAUCAUCGCCGGUUCUUGGCUGGCUCCUGCACCCGUGUCGUCUACGCUGUUGGCCGCCACGGCGAGCAAGCUACCGAUGAAAGGCAGCAUUCACCUCUGGGGUGAGUCCCUGAAGACUGCAUUUCUAUGUGGCACACAUUGCUUUCUUGCUCCUAACGGCCGAAAAGCUGAGGUGGAGUCAGCACUCUUGCUUGUUAAGCUCGGGCUGGCAAGAAAGGCGACCCGGCAUCCUGGUUGCUGGAUCCAGUUCCACCCGAUCACGCAGCUCUUCGGCAAGAUCAGGGGAGGCUUGGCGCCGACCACCGCAGCCGUGAACGGGGUGAUGAGGGCCGGCAACCCCUCGUCGUACUCAGACCACCUGUGGGCUAGUGCAUUCCUUGUGUUUGGCUUCAAGUCUGAGCCACCUGCCGUUCAGCUCAAGGCGGUGGACAUGGUGCUCUUCAUAAGGAAGACGGCCCUGCCCCUGGCGAUCGAGUCCUUCAUGACCUUCUCGCGGUGCGGCUCGGCCCUGGAGCUGCUCAAGGUGUGCACCAACAUCCUGGAGGAGGUGGAGAAGUCCUACACGUCGCGGAUGCAGGACUGGAACCGCGGCUCGCUGUCCUGGAGGAAGAAACUGCAGCCGAACCACCGCGUCGACGAGUUCAUCUGGCAGGAGGUGACGCUGCUCAAGGCGACGCUGCUCGAGACGAGGGCAAAGCUCCUGCUCCGAGGCGGGCUGUUCGACACCGGCGAGGAGCUGUGCCGGACCUGCAUCAGCAUCCGGACGGUGAUGCUCGGGCAUGGCGACGCCCAGACGGUGGCCGCUCAGGAGACGCUGGCGAAGCUGGUCAGAUACAGGAGCAAGGUAUGA
RNAcentral lists this ribosomal RNA (3015 nucleotides) under Triticum aestivum (bread wheat). RNAcentral describes it as "partial small subunit ribosomal RNA". The record is from RNAcentral. Lineage: Eukaryota; Viridiplantae; Streptophyta; Magnoliopsida; Poales; Poaceae.